RNAcentral lists this ribosomal RNA (1823 nucleotides) under Campylobacter jejuni. RNAcentral describes it as "partial 23S ribosomal RNA". It matches the Rfam family "Bacterial large subunit ribosomal RNA", at positions 1115 to 2925 of the family's 2925-position model. The record is from RNAcentral. Lineage: Bacteria; Pseudomonadati; Campylobacterota; Epsilonproteobacteria; Campylobacterales; Campylobacteraceae.
GCCAUCCUUUAAAGAAAGCGUAAUAGCUCACUGGUCUAGUGAUUUUGCGCGGAAAAUAUAACGGGGCUAAAGUAAGUACCGAAGCUGUAGACUUAGUUUACUAAGUGGUAGGAGAGCGUUCUAUUUGCGUCGAAGGUAUACCGGUAAGGAGUGCUGGAGCGAAUAGAAGUGAGCAUGCAGGCAUGAGUAGCGAUAAUUAAUGUGAGAAUCAUUAACGCCGUAAACCCAAGGUUUCCUACGCGAUGCUCGUCAUCGUAGGGUUAGUCGGGUCCUAAGUCGAGUCCGAAAGGGGUAGACGAUGGCAAAUUGGUUAAUAUUCCAAUACCAACAUUAGUGUGCGAUGGAAGGACGCUUAGGGCUAAGGGGGCUAGCGGAUGGAAGUGCUAGUCUAAGGUCGUAGGAGGUUAUACAGGCAAAUCCGUAUAACAAUACUCCGAGAACUGAAAGGCUUUUUGAAGUCUUCGGAUGGAUAGAAGAACCCCUGAUGCCGUCGAGCCAAGAAAAGUUUCUAAGUUUAGCUAAUGUUGCCCGUACCGUAAACCGACACAGGUGGGUGGGAUGAGUAUUCUAAGGCGCGUGGAAGAACUCUCUUUAAGGAACUCUGCAAAAUAGCACCGUAUCUUCGGUAUAAGGUGUGGUUAGCUUUGUAUUAGGAUUUACUCCGAAAGCAAGGAAACUUACAACAAAGAGUCCCUCCCGACUGUUUACCAAAAACACAGCACUCUGCUAACUCGUAAGAGGAUGUAUAGGGUGUGACGCCUGCCCGGUGCUCGAAGGUUAAUUGAUGGGGUUAGCAUUAGCGAAGCUCUUGAUCGAAGCCCGAGUAAACGGCGGCCGUAACUAUAACGGUCCUAAGGUAGCGAAAUUCCUUGUCGGUUAAAUACCGACCUGCAUGAAUGGCGUAACGAGAUGGGAGCUGUCUCAAAGAGGGAUCCAGUGAAAUUGUAGUGGAGGUGAAAAUUCCUCCUACCCGCGGCAAGACGGAAAGACCCCGUGGACCUUUACUACAGCUUGACACUGCUACUUGGAUAAGAAUGUGCAGGAUAGGUGGGAGGCUUUGAGUAUAUGACGCCAGUUGUAUAUGAGCCAUUGUUGAGAUACCACUCUUUCUUAUUUGGGUAGCUAACCAGCUUGAGUUAUCCUCAAGUGGGACAAUGUCUGGUGGGUAGUUUGACUGGGGCGGUCGCCUCCCAAAUAAUAACGGAGGCUUACAAAGGUUGGCUCAGAACGGUUGGAAAUCGUUCGUAGAGUAUAAAGGUAUAAGCCAGCUUAACUGCAAGACAUACAAGUCAAGCAGAGACGAAAGUCGGUCUUAGUGAUCCGGUGGUUCUGUGUGGAAGGGCCAUCGCUCAAAGGAUAAAAGGUACCCCGGGGAUAACAGGCUGAUCUCCCCCAAGAGCUCACAUCGACGGGGAGGUUUGGCACCUCGAUGUCGGCUCAUCGCAUCCUGGGGCUGGAGCAGGUCCCAAGGGUAUGGCUGUUCGCCAUUUAAAGCGGUACGCGAGCUGGGUUCAGAACGUCGUGAGACAGUUCGGUCCCUAUCUGCCGUGGGCGUAAGAAGAUUGAAGAGAUUUGACCCUAGUACGAGAGGACCGGGUUGAACAAACCACUGGUGUAGCUGUUGUUCUGCCAAGAGCAUCGCAGCGUAGCUAAGUUUGGAAAGGAUAAACGCUGAAAGCAUCUAAGCGUGAAGCCAACUCUAAGAUGAAUCUUCUCUAAGCUCUCUAGAAGACUACUAGUUUGAUAGGCUGGGUGUGUAAUGGAUGAAAGUCCUUUAGCUGACCAGUACUAAUAGAGCGUUUGGCUUAUCUUUAAUAAAGCAU